This 305-nucleotide small RNA is filed under the name Arabidopsis thaliana (thale cress). RNAcentral describes it as "ATSL025730". The record is from RNAcentral. Lineage: Eukaryota; Viridiplantae; Streptophyta; Magnoliopsida; Brassicales; Brassicaceae.
GUUUUAAAAAAUAUUUUCGUCAUCCUAAAUUGAAAAUAUGUAAUUCACAUUGCCUCACAAUUAAUCUAGUAUAUUGAUUCUUUAAAAAAAAAUAGAUAGAGAUUCAUAAGUAAAUUACUUCAUGUUCUAAUGAUGUUUAUCUCCUAAUUUACUAUUCAUUUAUGCGUAUUCUUAUGGAUUUUUCUUUCAGGGUCAACACUAGAUUAAAAGAAACUAGCCGGGUGUUGAUAAAUAUUAUGCCAUAGAUAAAAUCAUGGAAUUAACAAUCAAAAUAUAGUUAUACAAUCUGAAACAAUAAAAAAACA